This 521-nucleotide small RNA is filed under the name Pan troglodytes (chimpanzee). Its description in RNAcentral is "retained intron". Lineage: Eukaryota; Metazoa; Chordata; Mammalia; Primates; Hominidae. The record is from RNAcentral.
CAAGCCCAGAUUGCCAGCUCUGGGUUGACCGUGGAGGUAGAUGCCCCCAAAUCUCAGGACCUCGCCAAGAUCAUGGCAGACAUCCGGGCCCAAUAUGACGAGCUGGCUCGGAAGAACCGAGAGGAGCUAGACAAGUACUGGUCUCAGCAGGUGCGUGAGGGGAGGGGAUGGCUGCCAAGGUGUGGGAGGGAGGCAGACGGAAUGAGGGGCCUGAUGGACUGUCCCCACCCUGCAGAUUGAGGAGAGCACCACAGUGGUCACCACACAGUCUGCUGAGGUUGGAGCUGCUGAGACGACGCUCACAGAGCUGAGACGUACAGUCCAGUCCUUGGAGAUCGACCUGGACUCCAUGAGAAAUCUGAAGGCCAGCUUGGAGAACAGCCUGAGGGAGGUGGAGGCCCGCUACGCCCUACAGAUGGAGCAGCUCAACGGGAUCCUGCUGCACCUUGAGUCAGAGCUGGCACAGACCCGGGCAGAGGGACAGCGCCAGGCCCAGGAGUAUGAGGCCCUGCUGAACAUCA